This is a non-coding RNA of Durio zibethinus, 1335 nucleotides long. Lineage: Eukaryota; Viridiplantae; Streptophyta; Magnoliopsida; Malvales; Malvaceae. The record is from RefSeq and is a predicted model, not a curated record.
UACUUAAAAAAAAAAAAAAUUGAGGUGCGUUGACAAUAAUAUAGGGUGCAAAUAGUCUCUCUCGUCUAUGAAAUUUGAGUAGAUUAAACACUUAAAGGUUCUGGAUUUUUCCAAACCAAUGAUAGAAAAGAAAAGAAAAUGAAGAGAAAGAUGAAGGGAAGAAUAGAGAAAGGAAAAGGGAACCAUUGAAGAGGGGGGAAAGGGAGAAAGGCUGUCAAUGGACCGACCUUUCCACCGUUACCGUUUGUAGAUCUUUCUUGAGUCUUAAUCUCUUCCUCCUCAUCCUUCCUUAACUUUUUUUUUUUUUGUGGUUUUUUAUUUUCCUAUUUUGAAGUUUUUUUGUUUUUCAAUUUUGCCUUCAAUUUUUCAAUUUUAAGGUAUUUUUGCGUGUUAUGUGAUUUGCUUGAUCAAAGGUUUUUUUUUUUUUAGGUUUUUGGUUAUUCCUCUAAUAUUAGAGUUUUCGUUAUUGAGCCGUUCAAUUUACAAUUGAAAUUACUCUUACUUUUUUUCAUUAAAAAAUUAGGGUUUUUCUUUGGGCAGUGAAUGGAUAUAUAUAAUAUAGAGAGAGAUAGUAAGUUCUCAGAGAUUGAGUGGUUCACCGUCGUAUGUAGUCAUGUCAAUGACGCUUGACAAUGUAACAAAGCCAAUAUUGAUGGUAUCGUGAUUUGAAAAAGAAGUUGGGCUCUAUGACAGGAAAAAAAAAAAAAGCUACAAAAAAAGAAGUUAUCUGACGAAUUCAAGAGGUAAGCAAGCCACGAAAGCAAUGCCCUCCUGUCUUUCUUUCUUAGAAAAUAGAGAGAAGACUGUGAAAGGUGCAAAGAGAAAGAAAGGGGAAGAUAGGAAAGGAAGAGGAAAGCGGGUACUAGUCAUGGGUCAUGGUCAGUCCACGACUGCUGGCAUCAACAAGGUUGUGGGGGACAUGAUUUGAUACAUAAGGAUUGUGGUUUUUUCUGAUUUGAAACUUUCCAUUUGUAGAAUGGUCCAUCGAUUGCAAGAACUCCCACAAAUUACCAUAUAUGAUAAAAGAAGGUGAAAUUCCAUACUAAAAAAGGUUACGGACAGUGGAGGAAGACAAGCUACUCAUGGAUUAUGUCAAGCUGCAUGGAAAAGGACAAUGGAAUAAAAUAGCCAACGGGACAGGUUUCAAGAGAAGUGGGAAGAGUUCCAAGCUAAGGUGGAUGAAUUACCUAAGCCCCAAUGAAAAGAAAGGCAAUUUUUUGAGGAAGAAGAAGACCUUAUAAUUAGACUUCAUAAGCUUCUUGGAAACAGAUGGUUUUUGAUUGCUAAACGAGUGCCAGGACGAACUGAUGAUGCCAUACCUCACUAAUGUAUGGA